This 412-nucleotide unclassified non-coding RNA is filed under the name uncultured Sebacinaceae. RNAcentral's name for it is "sequence contains ITS2". The stretch from base 1 to 154 matches the Rfam family "5.8S ribosomal RNA". The record is from RNAcentral. Lineage: Eukaryota; Fungi; Basidiomycota; Agaricomycetes; Sebacinales; Sebacinaceae.
AACUUUCAACAACGGAUCACUUGGAUCUCGCAUCGAUGAAGAACGCAGCGAAAUGCGAUAAGUUAUGUGAAUUGCAGAAUUCAGUGAAUCAACGAAUCUUUGAACGCACCUUGCACACAUUGGUAUUCCUAAGAGUAUGCUCGUUUGAGUGUCAUUGUCCUCUCACACUCUAAUUAUGGAGAAGUGGACUUGGGUGUUGCUGCUUUGCUGUGGCUCAUCUCAAAGAUGCUAGUGCAACUCAUGGUUGGAUAUAGUACAGCGUGAUAAGUAUCUUCGCUGGCACCUCAUGAAGAGGGUGUCCGAUUGGGAGCUCUGUGCUUCAAACCGUCCGAUCUGGGACAAUUUAUGACAACUUGGCCUCAAAUCGAGUAGGACUACCCGCUGAACUUAAGCAUAUCAAUAAGCGGAGGCU